AAGGCUCACCAACAUGACUACCCAAACGUGAGCUGAACAGGGAUGACACCAAUAGACACAUCAAACUGAGUGUGGAAAAGCUCACACGAAUUCAACCCUACACAGGAACUCCAGGAAGCUGAGUGAAGCUGGGAGCAGGAGAGAUGUCCUCCCCAGGGAAGAGCACACCAAUCAGUUGUUCAGUGCCCAGUGGUCAUCCCUGAAAGCAUAGAUCAAAGUAACAUCAUGUGGACUCAACAGGACAAGUCAAAGGCUUUGCUUGGAAGCUUGGAGGUAAUCUUUCCUGUUUGGUGAUCCUCUUCUUUGUAGAAGGAUUAGAGUCCACCCAAGGCUCUUCAAGGCCUGCCUGAACAAGAGAACAGGCUCCACUUUUGGGGGAAGAUGAAAUGACACCAUAAGAGAAGAAGGCAGAGCCAGUUGACAGACACUGGACCUCUUUCAAGUUCACAGCAGAGGGAGAGCAGCGUGUCCAGUUACCAAGCAGAGGAAACACAGUUGGAAUGGCCAUGGAAGAAGUGCAGGAGUAGGUGGAGAGGCUGCAUAACCAAGGGACAGCAGGAAACCAGACAACACCUGCUGGUAAGAACAAGGACUCAAUCAGUAGGUUUGUAGGCCAGCCUGCUUCCAUCUGCUUCUGGCCAUUCUUGACUGGUGCAAAGCUAGAUUACCUUUUCAGAAAUGCUGAUGGCUGAGGCAGGUGGCUAUCUCUUGGAGAGAUAUAUGGCAGCUUUGAACUAGUGCCUUGUAAAAGGCCUGUGUGAUAAGAACACGGACUUAUCUUCUGUGACUCUCCUCAAAGCUCCCAGUGCUUUAAUCAAACACACUGCUCUCUGUUCGUACUUGCUCAUGAGCAAGGUGGAGAAAGGUAAACUAGAAAGGGGAUCUGGGACUAAUAUAUGACAUGCUAUCUUAACACGCUUCAAAGUUAAGACCUGAUUCAUGAAAUUGUUAGGCAAACACAGACAGAUAUGGCCUUUGAAUCAAGGAAAUGACAUUAUUAGAGCUAUAUGAACACGAGUGCACUAGAGAUACAGCAAGAUAUGCUUUUUAAUCAUGAAGAUUCUGGGGUCAGACUGUCUCUGCAUGGAUUCCUUCCCUAAUCUUCCUAGCUCUGACCUUCUUAACGUUGAACUUCAGUAGUCUCAUCUAUACAGUGGGAACAAAAACUA
Peromyscus maniculatus bairdii (prairie deer mouse) is the source of this 1169-nucleotide long non-coding RNA. RefSeq lists it as uncharacterized. The record is from RefSeq and is a predicted model, not a curated record. NCBI's taxonomy places the organism in Eukaryota, Metazoa, Chordata, Mammalia, Rodentia, Cricetidae.